GAGGGAUGAGCCUGAGGUGUCAGCAUCUUCACAGGUCUUUUGAGCCUGCAUGCACAAAAGGGUCUACUGUCCCUGGGAGAUCUCAUCAGAGGUGCCUGAAAAGCACCUCAGCCGAAGGCCUCACAUAGAGAGACCUAAGAAUGAAGGCACCUGGACUAGGAAUGUGAAUAUGUGAAAGAACAUGACCGGCCAGGGGCCCUGAGUUAUUGAAUGCAACCCCCUUCAGACACUGCAACACACAGGCUGUGCACCAAGCCUAGUAUGGGAAGGACAGCUUUUCUUCAUGAGGCCUGCCAGGUAAAGCCAGCUAUGAAACAGGAAGUUGACCUUCACCAGACACUGAACCUACUGGCACCUUGAUCUUGGACUUCCCA
This 374-nucleotide long non-coding RNA is filed under the name Homo sapiens (human). Its description in RNAcentral is "non-protein coding LINC02345:24". Lineage: Eukaryota; Metazoa; Chordata; Mammalia; Primates; Hominidae. The record is from RNAcentral.